Molecule: long non-coding RNA, 750 nt
Organism: Carassius auratus (goldfish)
Lineage: Eukaryota; Metazoa; Chordata; Actinopteri; Cypriniformes; Cyprinidae
Exons: 4
Source: RefSeq, a predicted model, not a curated record
GGAGCAAUGGGUGCGCCGAAAGGUUGGGGCGUGGCAAAAGGUAGGGGCGUGGCAAAAGGUUUCUCAUUGGUGGAAGGAGUUUUACUGCUGGCCAAUCAGCAGCUAAAUAUACAUUUACGUAAUGUCCUUAGACAAGGUGGCGGCGAUAAGACGUGAGACAUGUGUACAGUGAGACAAAACGAUGACCUCAUCGACAGCGAAUCCUUCACAGAUGAUUGUUUAUAUCUGCGUCCUUCUUGUACAAGAGAGUACAGAAUACAUCCUGUCUCCAACUAAUGCAGAGUAUAUUCAAGCUGCCAACACACUGAUGUGAAGAACCCUUUCCAGAGAAAUAUAGAAAGAAAUGACUGUGAAGCUUGUGUUGGAGAGGAUUCAGUGUCUGGUGAGGCUCAUGUGAAUGUGUUAUAAAGUGAGUAUCAGAAACACAUCCAGACACAUGGACUGCCAAAGACCACACGACAGGAACAUGCUCCUGGAGACGCUGAGAAAACACAGAAGGAAUCUCUGAGGAAACUACACAUACUUCAGGACACCUGCUGGAGUGAGUAUAUUAAAGAAACAAACUCAUCAACUGUAAAAUAUCUCGUAUCAAAUCUUUUCAGGUAAUAUUUUAUUAUUCUGUACCUUUUUAGCCCAUCUGUUAAACAUUUAAAGCAAUAGUUUUAGAAAACAAUGUAAGAUUUAUCCGUGUAUACAAGAAGAUGAAAUGCAUGGUAUAUUGUGACUCUUAUACAUUAGCUUCUGAUUGUU